GCUGGCGUAGCUCAGUGGUUAGAGCGAAGCACUCAUAACGCUUAGGUCGCAGGUCCGAUUCCUGCCGCCAGCACCA
RNAcentral lists this transfer RNA (76 nucleotides) under bacterium. RNAcentral's name for it is "tRNA-Met". It matches the Rfam family "tRNA". From Rfam's summary of the family: Transfer RNA (tRNA) molecules are approximately 80 nucleotides in length. Their secondary structure includes four short double-helical elements and three loops (D, anti-codon, and T loops). The record is from RNAcentral.